UCACUCUGGCAUUGUGAACACUAAAAUUGGAAUAAUACAGAGAAGACUAGUGUGGCCUCUAAGUGGGGAUGACAAUCAAAUUCAUGAGAAUUCUGUAUUUUUU
Molecule: small nuclear RNA, 103 nt
Organism: Lepus europaeus (European hare)
Lineage: Eukaryota; Metazoa; Chordata; Mammalia; Lagomorpha; Leporidae
Source: RefSeq, a predicted model, not a curated record